This 67-nucleotide transfer RNA is filed under the name Penaeus indicus. RNAcentral's name for it is "tRNA-Pro". It matches the Rfam family "tRNA". Rfam says of the family: Transfer RNA (tRNA) molecules are approximately 80 nucleotides in length. Their secondary structure includes four short double-helical elements and three loops (D, anti-codon, and T loops). Lineage: Eukaryota; Metazoa; Arthropoda; Malacostraca; Decapoda; Penaeidae. The record is from RNAcentral.
CAGAGAAUAGUUUAAUUUAAAAUACUAGUUUUGGGAACUGGCGAUAGGAGGUAACUCUUUUCUCUGA